Falco peregrinus (peregrine falcon) is the source of this 655-nucleotide long non-coding RNA. RefSeq lists it as uncharacterized. The record is from RefSeq and is a predicted model, not a curated record. The transcript is spliced from 4 exons. NCBI's taxonomy places the organism in Eukaryota, Metazoa, Chordata, Aves, Falconiformes, Falconidae.
CUGACGUGUUAUAAGCUCUUGCACUAAUGGAAAACCAGUUAAUGCAAAAUGCAGCAGCUUAAACCAAAAAGGGGAGAGUCCGACUGUAGAGCUGGGGACAGCAACCACCUGAUGCUGAUCUGCUUGAGUAGGAAUGUGAGCUUUGGCUCUACUGUCCCUUCCCUCAAAGGCCGAAGAAAUGUUGAUAAAGAGGCACAAGAGCAGCAAGACAUCCUGAGGAUACGCUAGAAGACUGAGGUGAUGCCCUGAAGGCUGUUUCUCUUGGCCGUGGAAGCUUGACUGCAAUUUCUGUCUCUUUUGGGGUCACGGGCCACCAAGAAAACACAUUUCCCCAUUCAAAAAGGGCAGAUGUUAUUCCUUACCUCUUAUUUUUUUUCAACCACCUCCUUUAAUUCCUUCCAGAAAGAAAAAAAAUAAUCCGAGGUUUCUUGGAGAAAAGUGGAAGUUCUGCCAAGCUCCUCUGGGCAGUGUAGCGCCAAGGCCAUCCACAUAGCACCUCCAUGUUUGUGUCAAGACACAUGCUCCGCAUUCUCUACUUCCCUAAUGGCACAAACUCCUGUGGGAAGUUGGAAGAAAGAACUUGGUUGCCUGUGUUGUACAGGCACUAGAUUCAGUGACUAUUGUUGGUGUGCCUUUAGAUGGCAUUUUCACUGGA